GUCCAGGGAUGGGAAUCAAACCCACAGUGUUCCGCUUACUGGGCAGAUGCCAUGUCCACUAGGCUACCCUGGA
Molecule: transfer RNA, 73 nt
Filed under: Cordylochernes scorpioides
Lineage: Eukaryota; Metazoa; Arthropoda; Arachnida; Pseudoscorpiones; Chernetidae
Description: tRNA-Thr
Source: RNAcentral